RNAcentral lists this ribosomal RNA (497 nucleotides) under uncultured bacterium. Its description in RNAcentral is "partial 16S ribosomal RNA". It matches the Rfam family "Bacterial small subunit ribosomal RNA", at positions 28 to 507 of the family's 1533-position model. The record is from RNAcentral.
GAUGAACGCUGGCGGCGUGCCUAAUACAUGCAAGUCGAGCGAACAGAUAAGGAGCUUGCUCCUUUGACGUUAGCGGCGGACGGGGGAGUAACACGUGGAUAACCUACCUAUAAGACUGGGAUAACUUCGGGAAACCGGAGCUAAUACCGGAUAACAUAUAGAACCGCAUGGUUCAAUAGUGAAAGGCGGCUUUGCUGGCACGUAUAGAUGGAUCCGCGCCGUAGUAGCUAGUUGGUAAGGUAACGGCUUACCAAGGCAACGAUACGUAGCCGACCUGAGAGGGUGAUCGGCCACACUGGAACUGAGACACGGUCCAGACUCCUACGGGAGGCAGCAGUAGGGAAUCUUCCGCAAUGGGCGAAAGCCUGACGGAGCAACGCCGCGUGAGUGAUGAAGGUCUUCGGAUCGUAAAACUCUGUUAUCAGGGAAGAACAAAUGUGUAAGUAACUGUGCACAUCUUGACGGUACCUGAUCAGAAAGCCACGGCUAACUACGUG